Strongylocentrotus purpuratus (purple sea urchin) is the source of this 47-nucleotide non-coding RNA. NCBI's taxonomy places the organism in Eukaryota, Metazoa, Echinodermata, Echinoidea, Camarodonta, Strongylocentrotidae. The record is from Rfam.
AAAACGGCUCUUUUCAGAGCCACCACAUACCCAGAGAGAGAACAACU